This 1771-nucleotide ribosomal RNA is filed under the name Lepocinclis ovum var. ovum. RNAcentral describes it as "LSU rRNA". It matches the Rfam family "Bacterial large subunit ribosomal RNA", at positions 994 to 2783 of the family's 2925-position model. The record is from RNAcentral. Lineage: Eukaryota; Euglenozoa; Euglenophyceae; Euglenales; Phacaceae.
GGGGGAUAAGCUUCAUUGUCAAAAGGGAAACAGCCCAGAUCACCAGUUAAGGCCCCUAAAUAUUUGCUAAGUGACAAAGGAUGUAAAUGGACGUAGACAAUCAGGAGGUUUGCUUAGAAGCAGCCAAUUUCCUUUAAAAAGUGCGUAAUAGCUUACUGAUCAAGUCCAUUUGCGCCGAUAAUGUAUGGGACUAAGCAUUUUGCCGAAGCUGUGAGUUUUACGGUAGGAGAGCGUUCUGUUUGGCUUGAAGUAAUGGUGGAAACCUUUAUGGACUUAACAGAAGUGAGAAUGUCGGCUUAAGUAACGAAAACACUGGUGGGAAUCCAGUGCUCCGAAAGCCAAAAAUUUCCUUUGCAAGGUUCGUCCGCAAAGGGUUAGUCAGGUCCUAAAACGAGGCUUACCAGCGUAGUUGAUGGGAAACAGGUUAAUAUUCCUGUACUGCAACUGGUUUGGUUAAGGGUGACGAAAACGGUUAGGGUUAGCCAACAGUUGGUGUUUGGUUUAAGUUUUCAAGGUGUUGAGAAGCAGGGAGUCUGUUUUGAGCUGAGAAGCGAAUAUUUUUUUACUAAGGUAAAGAAAUAACCUGAGUCAUGUUUCCUAGAAAAGCCCUAAUAAUUUCAUUUAAUCAGGAUGCACCUGUAUUUUAAACUGACACAGGUUGGUGGGUAGAGUAUACUAAGGAGAGCGAGAUAACCCUUUUUAAGGAACUCGGCAAAAUGGCCUUGUAACUUCGGGAGAAAAGGUGCCCUGGUUUAUACCAGGGUUGCAGCGAUCAGAUCCAGGCGACUGUUUAUCAAAAACACAGGUCUCCGCAAAGUUGAAAAACUAUGKAUGGGGGCUGACGCCUGCCCAGUGCCGGAAGGUGAAAGAAACUUGUUAGCUUUUAGCAAAGCUCGUGACUUAAGCCCCGGUGAACGGCGGCAGUAACUAUAACUGUCCUAAGGAGCGAAAUUCCUUGUCGGGUAAGUUCCGACCUGCACGAAAGGCGUAACGAUCUGGAUACUGUCUCAAAAAGGGACUCGGUGAAAUAGAAUUAACUGUGAAGAUGCGGUUAACUUACACUUGGACAGAAAGACCCUAUGAAGCUUUACUGUAGUUUGAAAUUGAUUUUCGACUUUUCUUGCGCAGAAUAGGUGGGAGGCUUCGAUCGAUUUUUUUCGGAGAAUCGUGAGCCAUCAGUGAGAUACCACUCUAGAAAAGUUAAAAAUCUAAUUACGUUUCAUUAUAUGGACGUUUGACCAUUUCAGAUGGGCAGUUUUACUGGGGCGGUAGCCUCCUAAAAGGUAACGGAGGCGUACAAAGGUUUUCUCAAACUGGUCGGAAAUUAGUUUUGGAGUGCAAAGACAUAAGAAAGCUUAACUGUUAGACUUAUAAGUCAAGCAGUGACGAAAGUCGGUCUUAGUGAUCCGACGUUACUUAAUGGGAAGGACGUCGCUCAACAGAUAAAAGUUACUCUAGGGAUAACAGGCUGAUCUCCCCCAAGAGUUCACAUCGACGGGGAGGUUUGGCACCUCGAUGUCGGCUCAUCGCAACCUGGAGCGGUAGUACGUUCCAAGGGUUGGGCUGUUCGCCCAUGAAAGCGGUACGUGAGCUGGGUUCAGAACGUCGAGAGACAGUUCGGUCCAUAUCCGGUGUAAGCGUUGGAGUAUUGAAAGGAACUUUUUCUAGUACGAGAGGACCGAAAAGGACACACCAAUGGUGUGCCAGUUCUUGUGCCAACAGGAAAUGCUGGGUAGCUAUGUGUGAAGUGGAUAACUGCUGAAAGCAUAAA